Molecule: long non-coding RNA, 3109 nt
Organism: Papaver somniferum (opium poppy)
Lineage: Eukaryota; Viridiplantae; Streptophyta; Magnoliopsida; Ranunculales; Papaveraceae
Exons: 4
Source: RefSeq, a predicted model, not a curated record
CCGUAUAACUUCCCCAAACAAGAGACCAAAACUGCAAAUCAGUUCCAAUUGCUUCCCCCUAAUAAGUUUGUUCUUCCGACAUGUGAGUUUCACUCCCUAAUUACUCCAAAUCGCGUAUCUUUGAUUACUUCGAUCUUCAUCUCUGUUUCAAUCACAAAAACAGAUUAUAAUAUCACUUCAUCUCCGUACAAAACCUUAUUCCCAUCUGUUUUUUAUCCAUGUGUGAAUUUUUUUCCAUUGUAGGGUUGCAUAAUUUGUUUACACUUAUAGUCAUUUUUAAUGGAUUUGUUUUAACUCUACCGAUUGAUGCUAAUCAUAUGUAUGGUUGCUUCUGAUUUUGUGAUUUUGGUUCGGUUCAUCUGAAUCAGUAAUUUCAAGUGUUCAUUCCUUAUUAAUUUUACAGAGAUUGGAAAAUGGUAGAUAAUUAACUUCGAAUCAUUUCUACCAUAGAAAUAUACUUUUGCAAGCCUUGGUAAAGGUGUUUUCCAGGCAUUCUUAAAUGGUGGAGGAGUGGAAGCUGUGCAGCCAAAUCAAUGAUAACGGACGCUUCCUCUCGCAGCUUCAGAUCUCAUUUUUGUUGGUAAGAUAUAUGGCUUUAGCGGCUGAUAUACAAGGGCUCUACUUAAAUGAGAAUGACGUAAAUUUAAAUUAACUUAACUAGCAAAAUAUUUCUUAUCACUAAUCUAUAACACAGUUGCCUUUUUCUGGAGGAGACAAAGAAAGGCCGGGAUGGAGUCUUGGAAAGACAAAUAGUGGUCAGGAUGAAUUUUGAUCUCAUCCACCGUUCUUUGUGUCUUUAAGAAAAUCUUGAUCACUCAUUUUGGUCUGAUUCCAAAUUUGAUAAAAGUUGGAAACUGCCGGCAAUCAUGUGUCACGUCCUCCGUUUUUUCUCACUAUUCUCCCUACGGGUCUUUGAUACAGGUUGAUUCUAAAACUACCCUGACUUAUUCCCUCAACAAGUAGAUGAGUAUCAUGGACUUCAGAUAUGAAAACUGUUUCAGAAAUCUCCCUCAAUCUUUUGAUAGUUCGUCCCCACCAUUAACGACAUUUUUCAGAUAAUGUCUCUUCGUAUCUCCUUAGGAGUUGGAUUCAGAAAAGUGAAAGGGUGAUUUGGUUUUGGUUUUGCAGAAAUGUCUAUGGAUCCAGGGGUUUACGUUUAAGAAUCCAACAAAAAUUCACAACUGAAGUUAAAAGAGUUCCACUCGAAGUGUAGUUAAAAGAGUUCCGUAACAACUGAAGUCACUAUGGAAAUUAUUGGAUUGAAUGAUUUGAGUACUGUCAUAAAUCAACAGAUUUUUGCUGUGGCCAUCAAUUUAUUCUUUUUAAACCUCAAAUAAUUAUAGUGCAUCAAUCACUUAAUACUGAUAAGCAUUGUUUUUCACUUGGAUUCAGGUAUGCCUAUGUCUUUUGGUAUCUUGGGUCUCAAAGAAGGUAUACACCGGUAGUUACUUUUACUUGCAUCAAAUAACAUUUCUCUUUACACAUUGUUGAGUGUGAUUGUUGUAUUUGGACCCAAAGGUGGAGUCUAUGGAGUUCUUUGGUAGUGGUCAUCGAACUCUUAAAACUGCAGUUCCUACGCACUAAAGUAAUUUCUUGCAUUAUUUUGUUAAGGAAAACGUAUUCUUUUACAUCCACGUAAGUGUCCACAUAAAAUAUCUCUGCUUUUACUGAACAUUUUCUUCUGUAAAGGAUACAUUAACAACGAUAAAAUUCUUUUGAUGAAGAAUUGUUAGUGAUAUUCUUCUGUACCAUUCAUUUAACCAUUUCUAUGCAUGUUAUUAGCUUCUGUUGCGAAUGAAGUGGCACCAUUUCUUUGCCUGUGUUUUUUCUUAAUUUUUUUGGCGCCAAUGUUGAUUAUUCUUACCGAAAGUACUUAGACGAAGGAAUGACUUAUUUUCUUUUUUGUUUUUCAUUUUGGUUAUGCUUUAUCGUUUUUAUAGUUUGUCUGCUGCAUCAUAGUUUGGUGCCGUUUUUGCAGUUUCAAUACGUGGAGAGCUGUCACUUAAAAUUUGUUCAAAACUCUGCCAGGCGUACAAAUCCUAAGCGGGUGGUUACAAAUCCUAUCUUCCUAACUGUAGAAACCGUAAUUAGUCAGCAGUUUCAUAGAAAAAAAAAAUCGUCUCUCUACAUACUUUCCUGCACAAUAAUUCUUUUGCAUUCUUCAUUGUUGAAUGGCCAUAGUAGAGGGUUUCUGGCUUCUUUCUCUCUUUACCAUAAGUUUCACCACAAAUCGUCUCCCAAAAUCUAUAGCCCAUAUAGAGAGGUAGAGGGAGAGGGUUUGUGGCAUAAUCUUGCACAUCAUUAGCUGAGACUGAGGUUAGUUUGUUGAUGUGAAUUUUGCAGGUGAGAAUAGUGGGUAGAGAGAAAGAGGGGAUGCACCAACACCACGAAUAGAAGAAAGAAAUACAUUCAAAGUUCCAUGAUGAUGCUAAAGUUGGUGGCCUUGGUGUACUUAAUAAGUUGCAUGCAAUCAAAAUGUAGAAGUUGAGAUUCAUGGAAGAAUUGGGGUUAGCUAAUCAUGAAAUGCAGACCAAGGUUAUGGAUGGAACUCUUACAGUAACCCAUGGGAUGGUCGAGUGACUUUGGUGGCCGAGUUUUAAAAUUCCAGUAACUAUUGCAUUUUCAAAGAGAUAUCAAACAUUUUUGCAGGCAGUUUACAGGCUUCGUUUCUUCUUUUAAUUUGCAAACUUUCUCUGCCUUCCUUAUAAUCUUUCUCUAUUUUACUUUUCUUUGCUAUGUAAUGUUGGGUGUUUCGGUGCGUCCUGGAGGCCAGUGAUCUCCUCUUCCCAAGUGCAAUAAAAUUGGAGGGAGGAAAUAGUAUCAAUUACAAAGAAAACAACAAGACUAAGUGGUUUUCUAUUUGCUUUGUGUUUAUUUAUAUCUUUGGCUUUGGUGUCUUUCAAUCUGUACGUUGAUCGACUAACAUUGGUUCUCUUAUUUUCGGAGAUGCUAAUGAAUUUAGCUUCUUUUUUGUAUAUGAAUUGCAGGAUAUCAUGGUAAAAGGAUAGAGAUACAGACAGUGGGAAAGUGGGAAAUGAGAGUGUGGAGAAUGUAUGAACACCACAAUGUAGUAGAAAUAGAAAUAAGCAGAUACAUGCAAGAAUUCUUG